UACGGGGGGAGCAAGCGUUGUUCGGAUUUACUGGGCGUAAAGGGCUCGUAGGCGGCCAACUAAGUCAGACGUGAAAUCCCUCGGCUUAACCGGGGAACUGCGUCUGAAACUGGAUGGCUUGAGAUUGGGAGAGGGAUGCGGAAUUCCAGGUGUAGCGGUGAAAUGCGUAGAUAUCUGGAGGAACACCGGUGGCGAAGGCGGCAUCCUGGACCAACACUGACGCUGAGUGAGCGAAAGCCAGGGGAGCAAACGGG
This 254-nucleotide ribosomal RNA is filed under the name uncultured bacterium. RNAcentral's name for it is "partial 16S ribosomal RNA". It matches the Rfam family "Bacterial small subunit ribosomal RNA", at positions 524 to 776 of the family's 1533-position model. The record is from RNAcentral.